AGUGAACGCUGGCGGUAGGCCUAACACAUGCAAGUCGAACGGCAGCACAGUAAGAGCUUGUUCUUACGGGUGGCGAGUGGCGGACGGGUGAGGAAUACAUCGGAAUCUACUUUUUCGUGGGGGAUAACGUAGGGAAACUUACGCUAAUACCGCAUACGACCUACGGGUGAAAGCAGGGGAUCUUCGGACCUUGCGCGAUUGAAUGAGCCGAUGUCGGAUUAGCUAGUUGGCGGGGUAAAGGCCCACCAAGGCGACGAUCCGUAGCUGGUCUGAGAGGAUGAUCAGCCACACUGGAACUGAGACACGGUCCAGACUCCUACGGGAGGCAGCAGGGGGGAAUAUUGGACAAUGGGCGCAAGCCUGAUCCAGCCAUACCGCGUGGGUGAAGAAGGCCUUCGGGUUGUAAAGCCCUUUUGUUGGGAAAGAAAAGCAGCAGGUUAAUACCCCGCUGUUCUGACGGUACCCAAAGAAUAAGCACCGGCUAACUUCGUG
This 492-nucleotide ribosomal RNA is filed under the name uncultured bacterium. Its description in RNAcentral is "partial 16S ribosomal RNA". It matches the Rfam family "Bacterial small subunit ribosomal RNA", at positions 29 to 507 of the family's 1533-position model. The record is from RNAcentral.